GAUGAAUGCUGGCGGCGUGCCUAAUACAUGCAAGUCGAGCGGUAAGGCCCUUCGGGGUACACGAGCGGCGGACGGCUGAGUAACGCGUGGGAACAUGCCCCAAAGUGAGGGAUAACGCACCGAAAGGUGUGCUAAUACCGCAUAUGGUCUUCGGAUUAAAGGAUUUAUCCGCUUUGGGAGUGGCCCGCGUACGAUUAGAUUGUUGGUGAGGUAACGGCUCACCAAGUCGACGAUCGUUAACUGGUCUGAGAGGAUGAUCAGUCAGACUGGAACUGAGACACGGUCCAGACUCCUACGGGAGGCAGCAGUAAGGAAUCUUCCACAAUGGGCGAAAGCCUGAUGGAGCAACGCCGCGUGCAGGAUGAAGGCCCUCGGGUCGUAAACUAGCUUUAUGAGUGAAGAAUAUGACGGUAACUCAUGAAUAAGCACGGCUAACUACGUGCCAGCAGCCGCGGUAAU
RNAcentral lists this ribosomal RNA (459 nucleotides) under uncultured bacterium. Its description in RNAcentral is "bacterial SSU rRNA". It matches the Rfam family "Bacterial small subunit ribosomal RNA", at positions 28 to 524 of the family's 1533-position model. The record is from RNAcentral.